RNAcentral lists this ribosomal RNA (2926 nucleotides) under Escherichia coli. RNAcentral's name for it is "bacterial LSU rRNA". It matches the Rfam family "Bacterial large subunit ribosomal RNA". The record is from RNAcentral. Lineage: Bacteria; Pseudomonadati; Pseudomonadota; Gammaproteobacteria; Enterobacterales; Enterobacteriaceae.
GGGUUGUGAGGUUAAGCGACUAAGCGUACACGGUGGAUGCCCUGGCAGUCAGAGGCGAUGAAGGACGUGCUAAUCUGCGAUAAGCGUCGGUAAGGUGAUAUGAACCGUUAUAACCGGCGAUUUCCGAAUGGGGAAACCCAGUGUGUUUCGACACACUAUCAUUAACUGAAUCCAUAGGUUAAUGAGGCGAACCGGGGGAACUGAAACAUCUAAGUACCCCGAGGAAAAGAAAUCAACCGAGAUUCCCCCAGUAGCGGCGAGCGAACGGGGAGGAGCCCAGAGCCUGAAUCAGUGUGUGUGUUAGUGGAAGCGUCUGGAAAGGCGCGCGAUACAGGGUGACAGCCCCGUACACAAAAAUGCACAUACUGUGAGCUCGAUGAGUAGGGCGGGACACGUGGUAUCCUGUCUGAAUAUGGGGGGACCAUCCUCCAAGGCUAAAUACUCCUGACUGACCGAUAGUGAACCAGUACCGUGAGGGAAAGGCGAAAAGAACCCCGGCGAGGGGAGUGAAAAAGAACCUGAAACCGUGUACGUACAAGCAGUGGGAGCCUCUUUAUGGGGUGACUGCGUACCUUUUGUAUAAUGGGUCAGCGACUUAUAUUCUGUAGCAAGGUUAACCGAAUAGGGGAGCCGAAGGGAAACCGAGUCUUAACUGGGCGUUAAGUUGCAGGGUAUAGACCCGAAACCCGGUGAUCUAGCCAUGGGCAGGUUGAAGGUUGGGUAACACUAACUGGAGGACCGAACCGACUAAUGUUGAAAAAUUAGCGGAUGACUUGUGGCUGGGGGUGAAAGGCCAAUCAAACCGGGAGAUAGCUGGUUCUCCCCGAAAGCUAUUUAGGUAGCGCCUCGUGAAUUCAUCUCCGGGGGUAGAGCACUGUUUCGGCAAGGGGGUCAUCCCGACUUACCAACCCGAUGCAAACUGCGAAUACCGGAGAAUGUUAUCACGGGAGACACACGGCGGGUGCUAACGUCCGUCGUGAAGAGGGAAACAACCCAGACCGCCAGCUAAGGUCCCAAAGUCAUGGUUAAGUGGGAAACGAUGUGGGAAGGCCCAGACAGCCAGGAUGUUGGCUUAGAAGCAGCCAUCAUUUAAAGAAAGCGUAAUAGCUCACUGGUCGAGUCGGCCUGCGCGGAAGAUGUAACGGGGCUAAACCAUGCACCGAAGCUGCGGCAGCGACGCUUAUGCGUUGUUGGGUAGGGGAGCGUUCUGUAAGCCUGCGAAGGUGUGCUGUGAGGCAUGCUGGAGGUAUCAGAAGUGCGAAUGCUGACAUAAGUAACGAUAAAGCGGGUGAAAAGCCCGCUCGCCGGAAGACCAAGGGUUCCUGUCCAACGUUAAUCGGGGCAGGGUGAGUCGACCCCUAAGGCGAGGCCGAAAGGCGUAGUCGAUGGGAAACAGGUUAAUAUUCCUGUACUUGGUGUUACUGCGAAGGGGGGACGGAGAAGGCUAUGUUGGCCGGGCGACGGUUGUCCCGGUUUAAGCGUGUAGGCUGGUUUUCCAGGCAAAUCCGGAAAAUCAAGGCUGAGGCGUGAUGACGAGGCACUACGGUGCUGAAGCAACAAAUGCCCUGCUUCCAGGAAAAGCCUCUAAGCAUCAGGUAACAUCAAAUCGUACCCCAAACCGACACAGGUGGUCAGGUAGAGAAUACCAAGGCGCUUGAGAGAACUCGGGUGAAGGAACUAGGCAAAAUGGUGCCGUAACUUCGGGAGAAGGCACGCUGAUAUGUAGGUGAAGCGACUUGCUCGUGGAGCUGAAAUCAGUCGAAGAUACCAGCUGGCUGCAACUGUUUAUUAAAAACACAGCACUGUGCAAACACGAAAGUGGACGUAUACGGUGUGACGCCUGCCCGGUGCCGGAAGGUUAAUUGAUGGGGUUAGCGGUAACGCGAAGCUCUUGAUCGAAGCCCCGGUAAACGGCGGCCGUAACUAUAACGGUCCUAAGGUAGCGAAAUUCCUUGUCGGGUAAGUUCCGACCUGCACGAAUGGCGUAAUGAUGGCCAGGCUGUCUCCACCCGAGACUCAGUGAAAUUGAACUCGCUGUGAAGAUGCAGUGUACCCGCGGCAAGACGGAAAGACCCCGUGAACCUUUACUAUAGCUUGACACUGAACAUUGAGCCUUGAUGUGUAGGAUAGGUGGAAGGCUUUGAAGUGUGGACGCCAGUCUGCAUGGAGCCGACCUUGAAAUACCACCCUUUAAUGUUUGAUGUUCUAACGUUGGCCCCUGAUCGGGGUUGCGGACAGUGUCUGGUGGGUAGUUUGACUGGGGCGGUCUCCUCCUAAAGAGUAACGGAGGAGCACGAAGGUUGGCUAAUCCUGGUCGGACAUCAGGAGGUUAGUGCAAUGGCAUAAGCCAGCUUGACUGCGAGCGUGACGGCGCGAGCAGGUGCGAAAGCAGGUCAUAGUGAUCCGGUGGUUCUGAAUGGAAGGGCCAUCGCUCAACGGAUAAAAGGUACUCCGGGGAUAACAGGCUGAUACCGCCCAAGAGUUCAUAUCGACGGCGGUGUUUGGCACCUCGAUGUCGGCUCAUCACAUCCUGGGGCUGAAGUAGGUCCCAAGGGUAUGGCUGUUCGCCAUUUAAAGUGGUACGCGAGCUGGGUUUAGAACGUCGUGAGACAGUUCGGUCCCUAUCUGCCGUGGGCGCUGGAGAACUGAGGGGGGCUGCUCCUAGUACGAGAGGACCGGAGUGGACGCAUCACUGGUGUUCGGGUUGUCAUGCCAAUGGCACUGCCCGGUAGCUAAAUGCGGAAGAGAUAAGUGCUGAAAGCAUCUAAGCACGAAACUUGCCCCGAGAUGAGUUCUCCCUGAGACUUUAAGUCUCCUGAAGGAACGUUGAAGACGACGACGUUGAUAGGCCGGGUGUGUAAGCGCAGCGAUGCGUUGAGCUAACCGGUACUAAUGAACCGUGAGGCUUAACCUUACAACGCCGAAG